RNAcentral lists this microRNA precursor (66 nucleotides) under Marmota monax (woodchuck). The record is from RNAcentral. Lineage: Eukaryota; Metazoa; Chordata; Mammalia; Rodentia; Sciuridae.
UCUUAUGGAUGAGCAUAAAAGGUAAUUUCUUAAAAUGGAAUCUAAUCCUAGUAAAGGUCUUCUGAA